AUUCCUUCUUGGCCUUUGGCUAAGAUCAAGUGUGACUAUCUAUUCUUAUCAGUUUAAGACCUGAUAAGGACAUAUCAGGUGUUAUAUUAAAUGAAUUUUUGGAACAGGGAGAUGGAGCAGGAGCUUGCUCUGUCCACGCCACAUAUUGUCCUGGUAUUGCAGGACCUCUGGUAAUGGUACAUGAAAA
Phyllostomus hastatus (greater spear-nosed bat) is the source of this 187-nucleotide small nuclear RNA. RefSeq annotates it as U2 spliceosomal RNA. The record is from RefSeq and is a predicted model, not a curated record. Lineage: Eukaryota; Metazoa; Chordata; Mammalia; Chiroptera; Phyllostomidae. The transcript has a single exon.